UACGUAGGGUGCAAGCGUUGUCCGGAAUUAUUGGGCGUAAAGAGCUCGUAGGCGGUUUGUUGCGUCGGCUGUGAAAUCCCGAGGCUCAACCUCGGGUCUGCAGUCGAUACGAGCAAACUAGAGUGUUGCAGGGGAGACUGGAAUUCCUGGUGUAGCGGUGAAAUGCGCAGAUAUCAGGAGGAACACCGGUGGCGAAGGCGGCGAUCUGGGCAGUUACUGACGCUGAGGUGCGAAAGCGUGGGGAGCAAACAGG
This 253-nucleotide ribosomal RNA is filed under the name uncultured bacterium. RNAcentral describes it as "partial 16S ribosomal RNA". It matches the Rfam family "Bacterial small subunit ribosomal RNA", at positions 524 to 776 of the family's 1533-position model. The record is from RNAcentral.